This 85-nucleotide transfer RNA is filed under the name Muribaculaceae bacterium. RNAcentral describes it as "tRNA-Leu". It matches the Rfam family "tRNA". From Rfam's summary of the family: Transfer RNA (tRNA) molecules are approximately 80 nucleotides in length. Their secondary structure includes four short double-helical elements and three loops (D, anti-codon, and T loops). Lineage: Bacteria; Pseudomonadati; Bacteroidota; Bacteroidia; Bacteroidales; Muribaculaceae. The record is from RNAcentral.
GCGCGCGUGGCGUAAUUGGUAGCCGCGUUAGACUUAGGAUCUAAUAUCUCACGAUGUGGGGGUUCGAGUCCCCCCGCGCGCACCA